GUAUUCUGCAACUUGUAGUUAGCCUACCGAGUUUAACAGGCUGUGCUAGUUUCUUUGCCAUUGUAGCGAUUGAGCGUGUUUCGAGCACAGAUAUAUAUUAUAGUUUUUCAAAUUAACUUAAUGCAUAAAGACCGAAUAUUAAACAGUCGUGUUGCGUAACUAUUCCAUCUGGCGUAACUGUGCAGGAAACUAUCUGCCCAGUCUGCCCGUUCGGCGAACAGACGCCACUUUUCAGUGUAAAACGUUCUUUCCUGUUACUGCUUUGUGUUUUAUGCUAUAAAAGCCCCCCUAUAUUCUGUGUUGCGAGGGCAGUAGGAGCUCUCUUACACUCUUGCUGUCCUCACGUUUGUCCCUAGCCUGAUGCCGCUCGUUUGUCCGCUAAUAAAAUGAGUUGUUGCCUUUUAGCGUUAUGGAGUCGCUACGUUGCGAUGGGUGCUAGCGUGAACGAAUCUACUGCACCCCCCUCCACGAUGCGUUGAGAUGGGCGCGACCGUUGAACCUUACUUACAUUACCGGACCCCCUACACCAUGUAAACUUCAUAUAUAUAACGUCGAACCGAUAUUUUUCUGUUGUUUUUAUCUCAAAUUAAAGUCAUAUUGACCCCUGCCUAUUUUCUUCAUGCUUAUAUCUCAGCGUUUUUUUUACAAAACUAUAACUAAUUUUAUGAGACAAAGUCAAACUGUACGGAAUAUUCAAGGUUGUUUUAUGAAGCUAAGAAACUAGUUUAGUCGUUCGCACACCCAAACAAAAAAUUCAUUGGCUUUACUAUGAUUUAGCAAGCAUUAAAAAAUAGCACCUUACUAUUUUGCAUUUUUUACUUGUUUAAAGUAUAGUGUUUCUAUUUUACAUACUUUUUUAAUAUUUAAAAGCAGUAAUCAGCUUUGACGAGCGUUUUAUAAAGCCGUGAUAAUACUGUCGAAUAAUUCUGUAACCUUAUUUUCCUGAUUAUCAUUAAAUGGGGGUCCGUAAAAAGAAAAUUAAAAAAAGUCUCGUAUGA
Molecule: non-coding RNA, 998 nt
Organism: Ciona intestinalis (vase tunicate)
Lineage: Eukaryota; Metazoa; Chordata; Ascidiacea; Phlebobranchia; Cionidae
Source: RefSeq, a predicted model, not a curated record